Molecule: transfer RNA, 67 nt
Filed under: Asolene crassa
Lineage: Eukaryota; Metazoa; Mollusca; Gastropoda; Architaenioglossa; Ampullariidae
Description: Pomacea crassa tRNA-Leu
Rfam family: tRNA
About the family: Transfer RNA (tRNA) molecules are approximately 80 nucleotides in length. Their secondary structure includes four short double-helical elements and three loops (D, anti-codon, and T loops). Further hydrogen bonds mediate the characteristic L-shaped molecular structure. tRNAs have two regions of fundamental functional importance: the anti-codon, which is responsible for specific mRNA codon recognition, and the 3' end, to which the tRNAs corresponding amino acid is attached (by aminoacyl-tRNA synthetases). tRNAs cope with the degeneracy of the genetic code in two manners: having more than one tRNA (with a specific anti-codon) for a particular amino acid; and 'wobble' base-pairing, i.e. permitting non-standard base-pairing at the 3rd anti-codon position.
Source: RNAcentral
GCAGAAAUGGCAGAUAAGUGCAUUAGAUUUAGGAUCUAAGUAUAAAGAAUAUAUUCUUUUUUUUGUA